AUGCUCGCGCCAGUGCUAGGCGCCGUUGGAUGUGGACGCGGAGGCUCGGGACUUGCACGCCCUACUCUACCCUACUCCUUCCAAUCCGGCCCCGAAGUGCUCGAGGAGGCGCUCGAGGUCGGCAUGCUCACCGGCGACGCUGGGUCCCUCCAUCCUCCUGGUUCCCUCGCUGUCGCCAACAUGAGCCUCUCCACCCUCUCCCGCGCGAUCGUCCAGGUCCAGCCCCUUCUGGUUGUGAGUGGAUCCAAGAGUUCACAUGAUGCAGUAUCUUUUUGA
RNAcentral lists this ribosomal RNA (276 nucleotides) under Triticum aestivum (bread wheat). Its description in RNAcentral is "partial small subunit ribosomal RNA". Lineage: Eukaryota; Viridiplantae; Streptophyta; Magnoliopsida; Poales; Poaceae. The record is from RNAcentral.